Molecule: ribosomal RNA, 570 nt
Filed under: Microbacterium trichothecenolyticum
Lineage: Bacteria; Bacillati; Actinomycetota; Actinomycetes; Micrococcales; Microbacteriaceae
Description: bacterial SSU rRNA
Rfam family: Bacterial small subunit ribosomal RNA
Source: RNAcentral
GUUCCCCCGCCUGGGGGAGUACGGCCGCAAGGCUAAAACUCAAAGGGAAUUGACGGGCGACCCGCACAAGCGGCAGAGCAUGCGGGAUUAAUUCGAUGCAACGCGAAGAAACCUUACCAAGGCUUGACAUACACCAGAACACCGUAGAAAUACGGGACUCUUUGGACACUGGUGAACAGGUGGUGCAUGGUUGUCGUCAGCUCGUGUCGUGAGAUGUUGGGUUAAGUCCCGCAACGAGCGCAACCCUCGUUCUAUGUUGCCAGCACGUAAUGGUGGGAACUCAUGGGAUACUGCCGGGGUCAACUCGGAGGAAGGUGGGGAUGACGUCAAAUCAUCAUGCCCCUUAUGUCUUGGGCUUCACGCAUGAUACAAUGGCCGGUACAAAGGGCUGCAAUACCGUGAGGUGGAGCGAAUCCCAAAAAGCCGGUCCCAGUUCGGAUUGAGGUCUGCAACUCGACCUCAUGAAGUCGGAGUCGCUAGUAAUCGCAGAUCAGCAACGCUGCGGUGAAUACGUUCCCGGGUCUUGUACACACCGCCCGUCAAGUCGGAAAGUCGGUAACACCUGAAGCC